CUCUUAAAGCAAACUUCUUUUCCCUUCUCUUUGUCUUCUCUCUUCUAUGCAUCUUCUCUAUUCUUUUGGUUUUUGUGUCUUCAUUUUCUCUCUUCACGUUUGUUUUUUUCACAUUGAUUUUUUUUUUCUCUUUCAUUUGGUUGAAUCUGAUUUUGUUCCAAGUCGUAGCAUUUUUUUUAAUUGUGUGAUUUGCAGAUUUGUGAAAAUAGAUUUUUUUUUUUUUUUUGCAUGUUCUUGUAGGUGAUUCAAAGUCUGAUGCUUCUUUAUCCAAUAGAAACCAAAGCCCAUAGAGAGAGAGAAUGUGAGGCUUUCAAAUGUAUUCUUAGUGCUUGACGGAAAUCACCUCUUCACGGUUGAUGACGGCCAGCUCGAUGGAAGCUAUGCUCAGAGGCUUCAGAAUUUUUACGAAGGAAUCUUCACCUAGGGUUUCUCUCUCACCAUGUUAUUUCUCUCUCUAUUUUUUUUUUUCUUUUUGGUUUUUGUUUGAUCUAGUUUUGAUCUGAUGCUCAGAGACACAUGAAAAUGCAAGACAAGAUGAAAAAGAGACACAUGAAAAUGCAAGCCAAGAUGAAAAAUCCUUAUACAUGAGGCGUUGGACUAUCAGGUCGAUGUGGGAGUCUUCUUCCACACUUAAUUUCUUGCAUUUAUCUGCUAAGGAGUUUGAGGCAGCUUUGAUUACGUCGAAUGAUACUCUUUGAGUGACAUACAUAUACCUUUAUUGAAGCCCUCUUCUGAAUAUCUCCGUGCAUUUCUCUGCCGAGGAGUUCAAGACAGCUUGACGCCGAACGAUACUUGGAGUGACAUACAUAUACCUUUAUUAAAGGUACUGAACAUGGUGUGUUGUUGGGUGGAGGAUCCAAAUCCAGAUGUUUAUAAGUGUCACAUUUCUAGAAUCAAAGAUUAUCUAUGGGUGCUGAAGAUGGAAUGAAGAUGCAGAUUCCAUUUCAAUA
Long non-coding RNA from Carya illinoinensis, 950 nucleotides. RefSeq lists it as uncharacterized. NCBI's taxonomy places the organism in Eukaryota, Viridiplantae, Streptophyta, Magnoliopsida, Fagales, Juglandaceae. The record is from RefSeq and is a predicted model, not a curated record. The transcript is spliced from 5 exons.